GCCGCGGUAAUACGUAGGGUGCGAGCGUUAAUCGGAAUUACUGGGCGUAAAGCGUGCGCAGGCGGAUUGUUAAGUCAGGGGUGAAAUCCUGGAGCUCAACUCCAGAACUGCCUUUGAUACUGGCGAUCUUGAGUUCGGGAGAGGUGAGUGGAACUGCGAGUGUAGAGGUGAAAUUCGUAGAUAUUCGCAAGAACACCAGUGGCGAAGGCGGCUCACUGGCCCGAUACUGACGCUGAGGUGCGAAAGCGUGGGGAGCAAACAG
Molecule: ribosomal RNA, 262 nt
Filed under: uncultured bacterium
Lineage: Bacteria
Description: partial 16S ribosomal RNA
Rfam family: Bacterial small subunit ribosomal RNA
Source: RNAcentral